GCCACGGUGGUCUAGCGGUCAGAACACUAGCCUUGUAGGCUUGGGGUCCCGGGUUCAAUUCCCGGUGGUGCUC
Molecule: transfer RNA, 73 nt
Filed under: Zootermopsis nevadensis
Lineage: Eukaryota; Metazoa; Arthropoda; Insecta; Blattodea; Termopsidae
Rfam family: tRNA
About the family: Transfer RNA (tRNA) molecules are approximately 80 nucleotides in length. Their secondary structure includes four short double-helical elements and three loops (D, anti-codon, and T loops). Further hydrogen bonds mediate the characteristic L-shaped molecular structure. tRNAs have two regions of fundamental functional importance: the anti-codon, which is responsible for specific mRNA codon recognition, and the 3' end, to which the tRNAs corresponding amino acid is attached (by aminoacyl-tRNA synthetases). tRNAs cope with the degeneracy of the genetic code in two manners: having more than one tRNA (with a specific anti-codon) for a particular amino acid; and 'wobble' base-pairing, i.e. permitting non-standard base-pairing at the 3rd anti-codon position.
Source: Rfam by way of RNAcentral